Molecule: ribosomal RNA, 797 nt
Filed under: uncultured bacterium
Lineage: Bacteria
Description: bacterial SSU rRNA
Rfam family: Bacterial small subunit ribosomal RNA
Source: RNAcentral
AGAGUUUGAUCAUGGCUCAGAUUGAACGCUGGCGGCAGGCCUAACACAUGCAAGUCGAGCGGUAGCACAAGAGAGCUUGCUCUCUGGGUGACGAGCGGCGGACGGGUGAGUAAUGUCUGGGAAACUGCCUGAUGGAGGGGGAUAACUACUGGAAACGGUAGCUAAUACCGCAUAACGUCUUCGGACCAAAGUGGGGGACCUUCGGGCCUCACGCCAUCAGAUGUGCCCAGAUGGGAUUAGUUAGUAGGUGGGGUAAUGGCUCACCUAGGCGACGAUCCCUAGCUGGUCUGAGAGGAUGACCAGCCACACUGGAACUGAGACACGGUCCAGACUCCUACGGGAGGCAGCAGUGGGGAAUAUUGCACAAUGGGCGCAAGCCUGAUGCAGCCAUGCCGCGUGUGUGAAGAAGGCCUUCGGGUUGUAAAGCACUUUCAGCGAGGAGGAAGGGUAGUGUGUUAAUAGCACAUUGCAUUGACGUUACUCGCAGAAGAAGCACCGGCUAACUCCGUGCCAGCAGCCGCGGUAAUACGGAGGGUGCAAGCGUUAAUCGGAAUUACUGGGCGUAAAGCGCACGCAGGCGGUUUGUUAAGUCAGAUGUGAAAUCCCCGCGCUUAACGUGGGAACUGCAUUUGAAACUGGCAAGCUAGAGUCUUGUAGAGGGGGGUAGAAUUCCAGGUGUAGCGGUGAAAUGCGUAGAGAUCUGGAGGAAUACCGGUGGCGAAGGCGGCCCCCUGGACAAAGACUGACGCUCAGGUGCGAAAGCGUGGGGAGCAAACAGGAUUAGAUACCCCGGUAGU